GGUAAAGUGGCCGAGAUAAGGCGGCGAGUUGUAGCCUCGAUGACCGGGUGUGCCCCGCACUACCAGGCC
Molecule: transfer RNA, 69 nt
Filed under: Lygodactylus heterurus
Lineage: Eukaryota; Metazoa; Chordata; Lepidosauria; Squamata; Gekkonidae
Description: tRNA-Tyr
Source: RNAcentral